AACCUUUACACUGCACGACAGUGCGAUAGGGGGACUCCGAGUGCGAGGGCAUAUAGCCCUCGCUUUUCUGAACCGUAAGGUGGUUCAGGAACAAGGACUGGGCAAGACCGGUGCCAGCCGCCGCGGUAAUACCGGCAGUCCGAGUGAUGGCCGAUAUUAUUGGGCCUAAAGCGUCCGUAGCCGGCCGGACAAGUCCGUUGGGAAAUCGACGCGCUCAACGCGUCGGCGUCCAGCGGAAACUGUCCGGCUUGGGGCCGGAAGACCUGAGGGGUACGUCCGGGGUAGGAGUGAAAUCCUGUAAUCCUGGACGGACCACCAAUGGGGAAACCACCUCAGGAAGACGGACCCGACGGUGAGGGACGAAAGCUAGGGUCUCGAACCGGAUUAGAUACCCGGGUAGUCCUAGCUGUAAACGAUGCUCGCUAGGUGUGCCGUAGGCUACGAGCCUGCGCUGCGCCCUAGGGAAGCCGAGAAGCGAGCCGCCUGGGAAGUACGUCUGCAAGGAUGAAACUUAA
Molecule: ribosomal RNA, 515 nt
Filed under: uncultured archaeon
Lineage: Archaea
Description: bacterial SSU rRNA
Rfam family: Archaeal small subunit ribosomal RNA
Source: RNAcentral